AGUGAACGCUGGCGGUAGGCCUAACACAUGCAAGUCGAACGGCAGCACAGUAAGAGCUUGCUCUUACGGGUGGCGAGUGGCGGACGGGUGAGGAAUACAUCGGAACCUACUUUUUCGUGGGGGAUAACGUAGGGAAACUUACGCUAAUACCGCAUACGACCUACGGGUGAAAGCAGGGGAUCUUCGGACCUUGCGCGAUUGAAUGAGCCGAUGUCGGAUUAGCUAGUUGGCGGGGUAAAGGCCCACCAAGGCGACGAUCCGUAGCUGGUCUGAGAGGAUGAUCAGCUACACUGGAACUGAGACACGGUCCAGACUCCUACGGGAGGCAGCAGUGGGGAAUAUUGGACAAUGGGCGCAAGCCUGAUCCAGCCAUACCGCGUGGGUGAAGAAGGCCUUCGGGUUGUAAAGCCCUUUUGUUGGGAAAGAAAAGCAGCAGGUUAAUACCCCGCUGUUCUGACGGUACCCAAAGAAUAAGCACCGGCUAACUUCGUG
Molecule: ribosomal RNA, 492 nt
Filed under: uncultured bacterium
Lineage: Bacteria
Description: partial 16S ribosomal RNA
Rfam family: Bacterial small subunit ribosomal RNA
Source: RNAcentral